AGAGGGAGGGAGAGUCCGAGCCGCCAUCAGCAUCCAGCGGAGUCAUGGUGGACCAGGGACGAACACACACAUAAAUAAUGGACGUCUUGUGCACGAGCUCAGUAACGGAUCUGUCCAUGCACGAGCCCAGGUUACCACUGAAGCAGGAGGGAGUGGAUGAGCCGGAAUUUCAGGCUUUUUUAUCCGAGUCUUUUCUGUCUAAAUCACAACCCCUGUGCACGCUGAUGCAACACCACAAUGAUGGAGCUGGAGACGCACGCCGACCCCGGCACGAAGUAAACGGAGUGAUACUCGAUAUUAAAACAGAACCGGAUCUGUCGGAUGUCGAAGCCUUUGUCUACAGCGAUAAUCCUGAAGAUUUGUCGACCUCUAAAGACGGGUGGAAUUGUAAAUCUGAACGGGAGAGCGAGUACACCCUUGAGGAGUGUGAUGAUGGAUGCAAUAUGCUAACUAUCAUUAAAAUGGAGCCUAACGAUGAAGAACUCGGCUUCUGUACCGAACUGCAGGCAAAUUCUAAAAUGGAAUCGAUAGAAAUAUCGAAUAGUGAAGAAGAGGAGGAAGAAGAAGAAUGUGACAUAUCACAUGAGGAUAAUGAGGAGGAAAGUCUGACAGGUACGUCAGAGGAAUGUGAGAACUAACGCUAACGCACACUCUAACUUAUUGUGAAACUGAGAGGUGGAAAAAAUCUUACAUUUUGGCUAUUUAAAGUCAAUUCCUGGUGGCGUGUGUAUGUGAUUAUCUUCGAUCAAUAAACAGACAUAAAUAUUGCUUUAUCAAAAUACAGUGGAAUUUUCCAAAUACAGUGGAAUUUUGCCACACUUCCUGUUUUUGUGGUGUAAUAUUUUAUUGAUCAGGUUGCCAUGACGACCCCCUGCUAAACUGAUUUAAUUAGAAAAUGACAAAUCCAGCAAGAGGACUAUUUUAAAGUUUGAUAAGUGAUAAAUCAUGAAUAUAACUUGCUGUUCUGUGUAUACGGUCAUGAUAUUUAAUUAUUAAGGAAACCCAUAUACCAUUGACCCCCGCGAAGUCGCGGUUCAGAGUUCGGAGCUUCAUUUGUUCACUCGUAGAAUCUAACUAAUGAUUGUUUGUGGAAAGCCUCAUAAUUUCGAUAAAACCACAAUUAUCCAGUGCAACAAUAUCAUUUACAAAUUUUGUAAUAUAAAUAUUUAACAUGAAUUCAGCUAAAUUUCCAUAUAAAUAUAAUACUGUGUAUUUUUUUUUUGUACUAUAGAGCGAACACAAAGAGAAGAGAAACACGGCUUCUGAUGGCGAAUGCUCCUACCUGCCCUCUGCUAAAGUCUUUAAGCCUUGCUCCGAGUGCGGAAAGAUGUUUCCUACUUCAUCGUCAUACAACAGACACAUGCGGAUACACAGCGGUGAAAGACCUUUCCAGUGCUCUCAUUGCAAUAAGACAUUUGUUCAGUUCUCUUCAUUUAAAAUCCACCAAAGGAUACACACUGGAGAGAAGCCGUAUCCCUGCUCAGAGUGCGACAAAACCUUCAGCCGUAUAGACUCUCUCCAACUCCACCAGAGAACUCAUACCGGAGAAAAGCCGUACCAGUGCGCUCACUGUCCCAAAACCUUCACUCGCCUACACGUGCUUCAGAACCAUCAGAGGACACACACCGGGGUAAAGCCGUAUCAGUGCUCGCACUGCGGCAAAACAUUCCCACGCCUAUGCAGCUUCAAGGUACAUAAAAGACGGCAUACGGGAGAGAAACCAUACUCGUGUGGAACAUGUGGAAAACAGUUUGUGGACGCCUCGAAUCUAAAGAACCACCAGAGGGUGCACACGAAGGAGCGGCCGUAUCAGUGCUCACACUGCAACAAGACCUUCAUUCAGCUCGGGCAUCUCACCAGCCACUGCAAAAAACACCACAGGUGACUGUGCUCUGACUGUAGGAGGCGCUACAAUUCUUUACCAUAAGCAACACGUACUUUCAUUAUCCAGAGUCCAAAUGGCUCAUGAGUUAAUGACUAUUUAGUAGAUUGUACUGUAUGUGGACAUAUAAAUAAUAGUCUGAUUUAAGUCAUACAAUCAAAGUUAAUUUUCUGAAGCAAGCUCUGACAUCAAUUAAGUCUAUACAUCUUUACCAUGUAUAUAUUUAUUUAUACUAUAUUUUUACCUUUUUUUUUUAUCAGAUAUUAUCCAGUAGAAUGCAUUAUGUGCAUAUUAUGUUCUAAUGGUGUUGCUCAAUGUAAGUUUUUAUUUUUUAUUUUUUUAUUGAUUCUACAGUCACUACAGAGAUUAUUG
Molecule: RNA transcript, 2254 nt
Organism: Clarias gariepinus (North African catfish)
Lineage: Eukaryota; Metazoa; Chordata; Actinopteri; Siluriformes; Clariidae
Gene name: zinc finger protein 79-like
Exons: 4
Source: RefSeq, a predicted model, not a curated record